Molecule: non-coding RNA, 73 nt
Organism: Stegodyphus dumicola
Lineage: Eukaryota; Metazoa; Arthropoda; Arachnida; Araneae; Eresidae
Source: the annotation of a RefSeq genome assembly
GUCUUCGUAGUGUAAUUGGAAACAUGCUCGACGUGCAUUCUAGAGGUCCAGGGUUCGAGUCCCUGCGAGGGCA